RNAcentral lists this unclassified non-coding RNA (352 nucleotides) under Hevea brasiliensis (rubber tree). The record is from RNAcentral. Lineage: Eukaryota; Viridiplantae; Streptophyta; Magnoliopsida; Malpighiales; Euphorbiaceae.
AAAAAAAAAAAAAAAAGGGGAAAAGGGGGAGUUCAUUGAAGGCUAAUCAGAGAUGUUUCAACCAGUCUAGAAUAAAGCUGGAAAUAUGCGGAGAAUUAGUCUCAGUGUAACAACUCAAUUCCCGCUUUAUUUGACUCCAAAAACAGAGGGAAAGAAGUCAUUGCAUGAUAUUCUAGUCCCAGAUGUUUGGGUUAUUUGAGAAAAUAGCGUUUGAAUAUGCCAUGGUUUUUACUAAGAAGCGUUUCACUUCCCUAAACUUGUGUGCAUGUGUAUUUAUAUUCGAUUUAAAAAAAAUAUCCGUCGUCUGAUUUGGGUAAUUAAGGCCAUACCAUUCUCCUAAUUCACGACCAAA